RNAcentral lists this ribosomal RNA (490 nucleotides) under uncultured Sphingobacteriales bacterium. RNAcentral describes it as "bacterial SSU rRNA". It matches the Rfam family "Bacterial small subunit ribosomal RNA", at positions 891 to 1382 of the family's 1533-position model. Lineage: Bacteria; Pseudomonadati; Bacteroidota; Sphingobacteriia; Sphingobacteriales. The record is from RNAcentral.
GCUCAGAAACUCAAAGGAAUUGACGGGGGCCCGCACAAGCGGAGGAGCAUGUGGUUUAAUUCGAUGAUACGCGAGGAACCUUACCUGGGCUCGAACGUAAGAUGACUGUAGGUGAAAGCUUACAUCUCUUCGGAGCAUUUUACGAGGUGCUGCAUGGUUGUCGUCAGCUCGUGCCGUGAGGUGUCGGGUUAAGUCCCAUAACGAGCGCAACCCUACCUUUAGUUGCCAUCAGGUAAUGCUGGGGACUCUAAAGGAACUGCCUACGCAAGUAGUGAGGAAGGCGGGGAUGACGUCAAAUCAGCACGGCCCUUACGUCCAGGGCUACACACGUGCUACAAUGGCCGAUACAGAGGGCAGCUACCUGGUGACAGGAUGCAAAUCUCCAAAGUCGGUCUCAGUUCGGAUCGGAGUCUGCAACCCGACUCCGUGAAGUUGGAUUCGCUAGUAAUCGCGCAUCAGCCAUGGCGCGGUGAAUACGUUCCCGGGCCUU